GCUGAGAAACAGAAGUAGACUCAAGCCAAGAGCACACCGAGGGCUAUUCUUCUCUGGAGCAGUGAGUGCAUCCACUGGACACAGGAUUUUCUGGUAACUCAGCAUUCAGAUCUGAUUACUAUCAUCUUCUCUUUCCUAAGGAGCCUGUGGAUAACAAGACAUUUAGAGACAUGGCCUCAGAGCUGGGAUCCCUAGUUGGGAAUCUGCGGUGCUUUGUUUGGAGGUAGUGAGGACUUGUUUAUAGAUGUUCUUUAGACAGACCUAAACUGAAUGACCUAAGUAUUAUUUAAAAUUUACGCAGUUUGCAGGAGGGGUGGUUUUGCUUCUUUGUUCUCCACUCCCUGUAACAACUUUAAAUAAACCUUGAAGGAUAUGUGUUAUGAAAUGUCACUACAGAAUAUAUGAAAAUUGUUGUGUCUUGAUCCUGUUAAGUGCUAGCACUAUUUUCUGCCUCUAUUUUCUUGCCUCUCUCCACACAGUGCAGCAGAUUUACUGUAAACUCCAGUGGAAGCUAGACUGGAGGAAAAGAUGACCCACUGUUUAAAGUUUCUGCUAUAACCUGCUGCGGAGCAAUUCUAGGAUUUGUUGGUUUGUUUUGUUUUAAAUAUAUAUCUAUUUACUGUAUGAAGAUGUCAUAUGUGGAUAUAAUACUUUGAUCAUCAUCCCCCAUCAUUCCCCUCUUGUCUCACUCUUAUUCUCUCUGGGACUCUCUUGUCUUUUUUUUUUAAAUACUCCACUGAUUUUAGGGUUGCUUGCAUGUUCUGGAUGUAGAGUUUAACUGGAUUAUGGGCAAUUUUCAAGUAGCUACAUCUCUAAAAGGAAAAAAAUGACACUCCCUCUCCCAUUAGGCAUUAUUCUUAUAUUACUCUACUAUCUUCUUGGCUAAGGAUAAGGCCUUCUGUGCCCUAGUCUCAUUAAUGCUAAAAUGUUGAAGUCUAGAUCUCAUUUAAGUCUUGUUCAGCUGCCAUGAGUGCAAAUUCCACUUUGUAUUAAUAAGACAUUAAGUCACACCACUCCCCGGGCCCCAUUCCAUGGCUCUUCCAUGAUGUUUCCUGAGCCUGACUAAAGAGGGGCAUUGAUGUAGAUGUACCUUCCCCCCUAGUCUAUUUAGGAAUGAGCACUCAACUCUCUUAUUCUCAGCCCUUUGACCAGUUAUAAGACGAUGCUUUAAAACCCUAUCCACUGCAAAAACAAAGCAAAUGGGGCACAAAGAACAGCAACAAAACCCUUGCCUCUGGCAUAAUCAGAAAUAUGCAGAAGGCCACUUGACAACAAUUCCAUUUUCCAAAACAGCAGUAGUAGAUGCUGUGGACAUUUUAACUGAGCAAUCCUCUUUAAUGGCCUGAGUUUUAGUAUAGAGCUGGGGUGCUAUGAAGGCAUUCAUCCUUCUUCAUGGAUUGAUAUUUCCCAUCUCUCUCCAUUGCUGUAUUCAUACACAGCACAAAGGCAUUGAAGACCAUUUUCUGCUGUUAUUUUCCUCUUUAUCAUGUUAGUAAUUCUUUAUCAAUUGUAUACAAUGCAUUUUAAUAUUUUUAUUACAUUUAUUUAUUCAUUUUAUGUAUAUUCACAUAGUGGGGCUGGACGCUAACAUGCCAUAGCAUGCAUAUGAAGGUAAAAAGACAAGGUGUGGAACUCACUUCUCUCUCACGACUAUGUGAAUUCUUGGCACUAGAACUCGGAUCACUUAGCUUAGUGACGAGUACUCUCACCUGCUGAGCCAUCUUGCUGGCCCAAGACAAACUUCAGUGUGUAAUUAGAACAGGGGAUGAGGACUAAAAGAAUGGGAAGCUUUUGUGAAAAGAUCUCCAGCAUCUUUUGCCUUCAUGACUUCCUCCUUCUCCUCAAGUGAGUUCAGGCUCUUGUUUGCCCUUGUUUGCUCUUGGUUGCCCUGAUCUAUAUCACUAUUUUCAUUUACGUCAGAGUCCAGUCAGCUUUUGUGACUGGCCAAAUAUAUUACCUAAUAUUUAAUUUCAGUAAAUAUUAGGAAAGUUUAAAUCUGUCUCUCUCCACCCCCUCCAUUCGUUUUAUCUACAGUUUUUUUUAGUAUAACAUGGAUACCUCUCCAGCUUGUGGUACGAAAGUCAGAGGGGACAAGAUCAUGGAGUCUCAUGGAGUCAUCUUUAUAGUUUAGUAGGAAUUUCCUAGCCAGGCGGCGAGGAGCUGAACAGCGCCCCCACCCGUGCAUGAUGUGUUAUGUAUCUGUGAGGCCACCAUUUUUCUGAGUAUGGGGAGAGAGCUUGGACUUUGUCACCACUGUUACUUGGCACUUUGUUGUGUUGUUAACAACAGUGCUAAGGCAGAGGGCCUCUCCUUGUCAUCAGUCACAUGUCAGGAGAAUAUGGAAAUAGUUAUCUUAAGGAAACAUAAAGUUUAGAUCAUUUUACAAGAAAGUAUAUAUGAAUUUAGGUAUUGAGAUAUUGAAUCCCAUAACAUUAAAUAAAAAUGUAUGCUCUACUAGCCCCAGGAAGUGCUGUUGAAUCCAGUGCUUUUGUAACUCAUCACAGCCAUUACAUUAUGGCGUUGAUGAAUGCUAUCUUAAUUAAGUUCCCCUUUUGUAACUGAAACCAAAGCAUAUCAAGAUCUUGAGGGAACCUCAUUGAUAUAAACAAGACUCAAUUUUUAGAUUUGUUUCAGUGCAGUGAACUGUGACCCUGGGAAUUUUUAAAACCCUUUUAUGACCCAUGGGUUUUUUUUAGCUUUUACAAAAUAUUUAUGGAAGAUUACACUUUGGGAUUUUGGUUUGUUUCACCCCUCACUCUGGAGACAUCCUCUUAGAACAGAAACAAUUUACAAGCUAAAAUUCAUUUUCUUGAACAUUUUCUUUAAAAAUCCAUCCACCUACUUAUAACCUUUUAAGCACUCUAUCUAGUACUUACUGAAUCCUGUUUUUAUUUUUUUAAUAUUGUGAAGCUCAAUGAUAUAAAUAAACAACUAAGAUAUUUAUUGCCUCAAAGACCUGGCAAGGUUGAAAUGAUUGCUUUAUCAUAGGGUCAUAAGUAUAUUUAGACCAAUUUAUCAGAACAGGCCCCAUGGAGCUGUUAUCAAAAAUGAAGUUAUUUCCCCUAUUGUAACAGUCAGGGCUCUGGAAAGAAGAAGAAAACAGAACAUACAGAUACAUUAAAAAAGAAGCUAUGACACUCAUAUCCUCAGAGGACAAAAGAGAAUAGAUGUGUGCAGUUAAAUUAGAAGUCAGAUGAGUUUUAACUUGAAACCUUUAUAAAUCUU
This 3225-nucleotide long non-coding RNA is filed under the name Mus musculus (house mouse). RNAcentral's name for it is "long non-coding RNA chr18:60212076-60215301". The record is from RNAcentral. Lineage: Eukaryota; Metazoa; Chordata; Mammalia; Rodentia; Muridae.